This 258-nucleotide ribosomal RNA is filed under the name uncultured bacterium. Its description in RNAcentral is "partial 16S ribosomal RNA". It matches the Rfam family "Bacterial small subunit ribosomal RNA", at positions 1114 to 1366 of the family's 1533-position model. The record is from RNAcentral.
GUCGCCCGCGGAUGUGGGCGAUGCUGGGGACUCUAUGGGGACUGCCGGCGAGGAGCCGGAGGAAGGAGGGGACGACGUCAAGUCCGUGUGGCCCUUAUGUCCGGGGCUACACACGCGCUACAAUGGGCGGUACAGAGGGAAGCGACCCUGCGAGGGGGAGCGAAUCCCUAAAACCGCCCCAGUUCGGAUUGCAGGCUGAAACCCGCCUGCAUGAAGGAGGAGUCGCUAGUAAUCACCUAUCAGCUAUGGGGUGGUGAA